Molecule: long non-coding RNA, 978 nt
Filed under: Homo sapiens (human)
Lineage: Eukaryota; Metazoa; Chordata; Mammalia; Primates; Hominidae
Description: HSALNT0225500
Source: RNAcentral
GAACAUUCAAAGCAGUGUCCCAGAGAUUCUGGUAUGUUGUGUCUUUGUUCUCGUUGGUUUCAAAGAACAUCUUUAUUUUAAAAAAGGUAGCAUUCAAAUGGAAAGCAAAUUGGCAAAUAAAAUUUUAACUAUAUACAAAUGAUAAUAGAUGUAAAGACUCUUUAGUGAAAAACCAGACUGCCAGAUUAGAUUUUUUUUAAAACCUGAUUCUAUAAUUUCUACCAAAAACACUUUGCAUUCAAAGACAUAGAUUGACUGAAUUUUUUUUAGUGCCUAAAUAUGUAGGGGGCAAUUUGUAGAGGGAAAUUUAAGUACAUCAGAAAUACAUAACAACUAUAAUGUGUAUACACAUCUAGCAAGAGAAUCCCAAACACAUGAAACAACAAACUAGCAAAUUGAAAUGAUAUAUCAACCAUUCAACAAUAACUGGUGAAAGAAUUCAGUGAAUUACUUUCAAUGAUUAAUAAGAAAGAUAGAAAUUCAGCAAGUUUAAAGACUUGACUUGAACAGGACUAUAAAACAAUUUGACCUAAUUGUCAGUCAUAUAUAAACCCUUUCGUGUAACUACUGAAGAUAGAUAUUAUUUUCAGGCACAUAUAGGGAAUUCGCCAAGAUAGAGCAUAUUCUGGGUCACAAAAUAAGCUUCAAAACAUUUUAAAAGUAUUUUUGUCCUAUAAAUAUGUUAUCUUACCACAAUGGAAUUAGAGAUAAUCAAGAAACAGAAAUCGUAGAAAUAGCCACUUUUUCAAAUAUUUGGAAAUUUAACAACAUACUUUUAAAUAAUCCAGAAGGGAAUUUUAGGAAAAUCCUGAAAUUAACAAAAAUGAAAGUAGUGUCUAGCAGAAUUUAUGGGGGUCAGUUAAGCAAUGGUUAGAAGGACAUUAAUAGCAAAAAACAACUAAAGAAAAUCAGAAAGUUCUAGAAUCAAUGAUUUAAGUUUCCACCUUAAGGAACUAAUAAAACAAGUGGAAAUGGAAC